This 138-nucleotide small nucleolar RNA is filed under the name Dasypus novemcinctus (nine-banded armadillo). RNAcentral's name for it is "Small nucleolar RNA SNORA42/SNORA80 family (ENSDNOG00000048968.1)". It matches the Rfam family "Small nucleolar RNA SNORA42/SNORA80 family". From Rfam's summary of the family: The members of this family belong to the H/ACA class of snoRNAs that guide the sites of modification of uridines to pseudouridines. Human ACA42 (SNORA42) was cloned from HeLa cells by immunoprecipitation with anti-GAR1 antibody. Lineage: Eukaryota; Metazoa; Chordata; Mammalia; Cingulata; Dasypodidae. The record is from RNAcentral.
GCAUGGUAAUAGAUUUAUGGCGGCCCUUCUCUGAGGGCCUUUCAUAGUGUACCCAUGCCAGAAUAAACUGCAGCCUCGAACUAUAUUGCCCAGUCUCCUUACCCACUGGCUCUAAGCAUUGAAGGGGGUUGCACAGUG